RNAcentral lists this ribosomal RNA (449 nucleotides) under uncultured bacterium. RNAcentral's name for it is "partial 16S ribosomal RNA". It matches the Rfam family "Bacterial small subunit ribosomal RNA", at positions 338 to 795 of the family's 1533-position model. The record is from RNAcentral.
CCUACGGGUGGCUGCAGUGGGGAAUUUUGGACAAUGGGGGCAACCCUGAUCCAGCCAUGCCGCGUGAGUGAAGAAGGCCUUCGGGUUGUAAAGCUCUUUCAGACGGCAAGAAACGGUCACGGCGAAUACCCGUGACUAAUGACGGUACCGUAAGAAGAAGCACCGGCUAACUACGUGCCAGCAGCCGCGGUAAUACGUAGGGUGCGACCGUUAAUCGGCAUUACUGGGCCGGUUUCGUAAGCAAGCGGUGAAAUCCCCGGGCUUAACCUGGGAACUGCAUUUGUGACUGCGAGACUAGAGUGUAGCAGAGGGGGGUAGAAUUCCACGUGUAGCAGUGAAAUGCGUAGAGAUGUGGAGGAAUACCGAUGGCGAAGGCAGCCCCCUGGGCUAACACUGACGCUCAUGCACGAAAGCGUGGGGAGCAAACAGGAUUAGAUACCCGGGUAGUC